GACUGUUGCUCAGUGGUAGAGAGUACUUGCCUUGUAUGUGUACGAUCCUGGGUUCAAUUCCCAGCAUCGUUA
RNAcentral lists this transfer RNA (72 nucleotides) under Marmota marmota marmota (Alpine marmot). It matches the Rfam family "tRNA". From Rfam's summary of the family: Transfer RNA (tRNA) molecules are approximately 80 nucleotides in length. Their secondary structure includes four short double-helical elements and three loops (D, anti-codon, and T loops). Lineage: Eukaryota; Metazoa; Chordata; Mammalia; Rodentia; Sciuridae. RNAcentral also lists the same sequence under 1 other name. The record is from Rfam by way of RNAcentral.